This 481-nucleotide ribosomal RNA is filed under the name Neisseria flavescens. RNAcentral's name for it is "bacterial SSU rRNA". It matches the Rfam family "Bacterial small subunit ribosomal RNA", at positions 30 to 498 of the family's 1533-position model. The record is from RNAcentral. Lineage: Bacteria; Pseudomonadati; Pseudomonadota; Betaproteobacteria; Neisseriales; Neisseriaceae.
AUUGAACGCUGGCGGCAUGCUUUACACAUGCAAGUCGGACGGCAGCACAGAGAAGCUUGCUUCUUGGGUGGCGAGUGGCGAACGGGUGAGUAAUAUAUCGGAACGUACCGAGUAAUGGGGGAUAACUAAUCGAAAGAUUAGCUAAUACCGCAUAUUCUCUGAGGAGGAAAGCAGGGGACCUUUGGGCCUUGCGUUAUUCGAGCGGCCGAUAUCUGAUUAGCUAGUUGGUGGGGUAAAGGCCUACCAAGGCGACGAUCAGUAGCGGGUCUGAGAGGAUGAUCCGCCACACUGGGACUGAGACACGGCCCAGACUCCUACGGGAGGCAGCAGUGGGGAAUUUUGGACAAUGGGCGCAAGCCUGAUCCAGCCAUGCCGCGUGUCUGAAGAAGGCCUUCGGGUUGUAAAGGACUUUUGUCAGGGAAGAAAAGGCUGUUGCUAAUAUCGACAGCUGAUGACGGUACCUGAAGAAUAAGCACCGGCU